UGGGAAGCGAUGCCUGGCUGAGUGAGGGAGUUUCCCGAUCUGAUCAGAGCGAGGAAUUGCUCAGCUGCCCCUCUGAAAUCCUGGGAUCACCAUGGCAACAGAAGAGUCCAUCAUCCGCAUCCCUCCAUACCACUAUAUCCAUGUCCUGGACCAGAACAGCAAUGUGUCCCGCGUGGAGGUUGGGCCAAAGACCUACAUCCGGCAGGACAAUGAGAGGGUACUGUUUGCCCCUGUGCCCAUGGUGACUGUCCCCCCACGCCACUACUGCACAGUGGCCAAUCCUGUGUCCCGGGAUGCCCAGGGUUCAGUGCAGUUUGACGUCACAGGACAAGUACGGCUUCGACAUGCUGACCUGGAGAUCCGGCUGGCCCAGGACCCCUUCCCCUUAUACCCAGGGGAGACACUGGAAAAGGGCAUCACCCCGCUGCAGGUGGUUCUGCCCAACACUGCCCUGCAUCUUAAGGCAUUGCUGGAUUUUGAGGAUAAGAAUGGAGACAAGGUGGUGGCAGGAGACGAGUGGCUAUUUGAAGGACCUGGUACAUAUAUCCCCCAGAAGGAGGUGGAGGUCGUGGAGAUCAUUCAGGCCACAGUCAUCAGGCAGAACCAGGCCCUGCGGCUGAGGGCCCGCAAGGAGUGCCGGGACCGGGAUGGCAGGGAGAGGGUGACAGGAGAAGAAUGGCUGGUCCGGUCAGUGGGUGCAUACCUACCAGCAGUGUUUGAAGAGGUUCUGGAUUUGGUGGAUGCUGUGAUCCUCACGGAAAAGAUAGCCUUGCACCUCCGGGCUCGGCAGAACUUCCGGGACUUCAGGGGAGUGACCCGCCGCACUGGGGAGGAAUGGCUGGUGACAGUGCAGGACACAGAGGCCCAUGUGCCAGAUGUCUAUGAGUUGGUGCUGGGGGUUGUACCCAUCACCACCCUGGGCCCUCACAACUACUGCGUUAUCCUCGACCCAGUCGGACCAGAUGGCAAGAACCAGCUUGGGCAAAAAUGUGUUGUCAAGGGAGAGAAGUCUUUCUUCCUGCAGCCAGGGGAGAGGCUGGAGCGAGGCAUCCAGGACGUGUAUGUGCUGUCGGAGCAGCAGGGACUGCUGCUGAGGGCUCUGCAGCCCCUGGAGGAAGGGGAGGACGAAGAGAAGGUCUUGCAUCAGGCCGGGGACCGCUGGCUCAUCCGAGGGCCCAUGGAGUACGUGCCGUCCGCCAAGGUGGAGGUGGUGGAAGAGCGUCAUGCCAUCCCUCUGGAUGAGAAUGAGGGCAUCUACGUGCAGGAUGUCAAGACCGGAAGGGUGCGCGCUGUGAUUGGAAGCACCUACAUGCUGACGCAGGAUGAAGUCCUGUGGGAGAAGGAGCUGCCUCCUGGAGUGGAGGAACUGCUCAACAAGGGACAAGACCCCCUGGCCGACAGGGGUGAGAAGGCAACAGCUAAGGUCCCUAAGCCGUCAGCCCCCCGGAACAAGACCCGUGUGGUCAGCUAUCGCGUCCCUCACAACGCUGCGGUGCAGGUGUACGACUACCGAGAGAAGAGAGCUCGCGUGGUCUUUGGGCCCGAGCUGGUGUCACUGGGACCUGAGGAGCAGUUCACGGUGCUGUCCCUCUCGGCCGGGCGGCCUAAGCGUCCCCACUCCCGCCGUGCUCUCUGCCUGUUGCUGGGGCCUGAUUUCUUUACGGAUGUCAUCACCAUCGAGACCGCAGACCACGCCAGGCUGCAACUUCAACUUGCUUACAACUGGCACUUUGAGCUGAGUGACCGGAAGGACCCCCAAGAGACAGCCAAGCUCUUCUCAGUGCCCGACUUCGUAGGUGAUGCCUGCAAAGCCAUCGCAUCCCGAGUGCGGGGUGCUGUGGCCUCUGUCACCUUUGAUGACUUCCAUAAGAACUCGGCCCGCAUCAUCCGCACUGCUGUCUUUGGCUUUGAGACCCUGGAUGGCAAAGACUUGCCCCAGCCCCGGGACCGGGCUGUCUUCCCCCAAAAUGGGCUGGUGGUCAGCAGCGUGGAUGUGCAGUCUGUGGAGCCUGUGGACCAGAGGACUCGGGAUGCCCUACAACGCAGUGUCCAGUUGGCCAUCGAGAUCACCACCAACUCCCAGGAGGCAGCUGCCAAGCAUGAAGCUCAGAGACUAGAGCAAGAAGCCCGAGGCCGGCUUGAGAGGCAGAAGAUCUUGGACCAAUCAGAAGCUGAAAGAGCUCGCAGGGAACUCUUGGAGCUGGAGGCUCUGAGCACGGCUGUGGAGAGCACCGGGACAGCCAAGGCAGAGGCUGAGUCCCGCGCAGAGGCGGCACGGAUUGAGGGCGAAGGCUCUGUCCUGCAGGCCAAGCUGAAAGCGGAGGCCUUGGCCAUUGAGACGGUGAGUGGAGGCGAGGCUGUGGAAGGGGAGGAUUUACCGAGUGCCCACUUAGUGCUAGGAGCUGGGUGGGUAUUCUUCACCUGUGUUUAUUAAUUUGCACAACAAUCUAUAAGAGACAUGAUAGUCUCAAGUAGUUCACAGAUAAGGAAACCAAAUUUUGGUAAGGGCAGAGUAGUAAACCAGACAGACCACCUCCUGCCCUCAAAGAGCUUACUGCUUAUACUUAUAUUGAGCUUUCUAUGUGCCAAGCACCUUGAGAAUACUAUGAGCAUGUAUUAUUUAAUCUUCACAACAACCCUAUGAGGUAAGUACUGUCCUUUGUUGUACAGGAGAGGAAACACAAACUCAAAGGUGAAAUGACUUGCCAAAGUCAUGUAACUAGUAAGUGCAUUUAAGUUUGGGAAGUCUGGCUCCAGAGACUUUGCUCUUGACCAGGGUGCUGUACCACUUUCCUGUGCUGCUGGAAUGAGCCGAGUCUGACUGAAGAGGCAGAUGAACUUGAGGACGAUAAAUGCAGUGAAGGGUGCAGGGUGAGGAGGCUGAGCUCCAGCGGGUACGGAA
Molecule: RNA transcript, 2902 nt
Organism: Trichechus manatus latirostris (Florida manatee)
Lineage: Eukaryota; Metazoa; Chordata; Mammalia; Sirenia; Trichechidae
Gene: MVP
Gene name: major vault protein
Exons: 14
Source: RefSeq, a predicted model, not a curated record